AGAGUUUGAUCAUGGCUCAGAACGAACGCUGGCGGCGUGCUUAAGACAUGCAAGUCGAACGAGAAAGGGGGCUUCGGCCCUGAGUACAGUGGCGCACGGGUGAGUAACACGUGGGUAAUCUGCCUUUAGGUUCGGGAUAACUCGGGGAAACCUGGGCUAAUACCGGGCAAGACCUCGGAGCUCUUGGGCUCGGCGGUAAGAGAUGGCCUCUUCUUGAAAGCUAUCGCCUGAAGAUGAGCCCGCGUCCCAUUAGCUAGUUGGUGAGGUAACGGCUCACCAAGGCAGUGAUGGGUAGCUGGUCUGAGAGGACGAUCAGCCACACUGGAACUGAGACACGGUCCAGACUCCUACGGGAGGCAGCAGUCGGGAAUUUUGGGCAAUGGGGGCAACCCUGACCCAGCAACGCCGCGUGAGCGAUGAAGGCCUUCGGGUCGUAAAGCUCUGUCGAGAGGGAAGAAUGUCCUCGCGAUGAAUAAUCUCGGGGGAUUGACGGUACCUCUAAAGGAAGCGCCGGCUAACUCCGUGCCAGCAGCCGCGGUAAUACGGAGGGCGCAAGCGUUGUUCGGAAUCACUGGGCGUAAAGCGCGUGUAGGCGGCUUGGUAAGUCGGGUGUGAAAGCCCGGAGCUCACUCCGGAACGGCACUCGAAACUGCUCGCUCG
This 660-nucleotide ribosomal RNA is filed under the name uncultured bacterium. RNAcentral describes it as "bacterial SSU rRNA". It matches the Rfam family "Bacterial small subunit ribosomal RNA", at positions 8 to 644 of the family's 1533-position model. The record is from RNAcentral.